This 253-nucleotide ribosomal RNA is filed under the name uncultured bacterium. RNAcentral's name for it is "partial 16S ribosomal RNA". It matches the Rfam family "Bacterial small subunit ribosomal RNA", at positions 524 to 776 of the family's 1533-position model. The record is from RNAcentral.
GACGUAGGGAGCGAGCGUUGUCCGGAUUCAUUGGGCGUAAAGAGCGCGCAGGCGGUUUGGUAAGUCGGAUGUGAAAUCCCCAGGCUUAACCUGGGAACUGCAUCCGAUACUGGAUGGCUUGAAUCCGGGAGAGGGAUGCAGAAUUCCAGGUGUAGCGGUGAAAUGCGUAGAUAUCUGGAGGAAUACCGGUGGCGAAGGCGGCAUCCUGGACCGGCAUUGACGCUGAUGAGCGAAAGCUAGGGGAGCAAACGGG